Molecule: ribosomal RNA, 391 nt
Filed under: Chrysophyceae sp.
Lineage: Eukaryota; Chrysophyceae
Description: partial small subunit ribosomal RNA
Rfam family: Eukaryotic small subunit ribosomal RNA
Source: RNAcentral
AUUCCAGCUCCAAUAGCGUAUACUAAAGUUGUUGCAGUUAAAAAGCUCGUAGUUGAAUUUCUGGUCGUGGCAACCGGUCCGCCCCUCACGGGGUGUGCACCAGGUUUCUGCGGCCAUCCUCGGGGAGAGCACAUCGGGCAUUCAGUUGUCUGGUGUGGGAUCCUCGUCAUUUACUGUGAGCAAAAUAGAGUGUUCAAAGCAGGCUUAGGCCGUUGAAUACAUUAGCAUGGAAUAAUAAGAUAGGACCUUGGUCUAUUUUGUUGGUUUGCAUUCCAAGGUAAUGAUUAAUAGGGAUAGUUGGGGGUAUUCGUAUUCAAUUGUCAGAGGUGAGAUUCUUGGAUUUGUUAAAGACUAACUUAUGCGAAAGCAUUUGCCAAGGAUGUUUUCAUUG